UCUGCUGUCAAAGCCUGGGGCUUAACCUCGGAUAGGCAGUGGAAACUGAGUAGCUAGAGUGCGGUAGGGGUAGAGGGAAUUCCCAGUGUAGCGGUGAAAUGCGUAGAUAUUGGGAAGAACACCAGUGGCGAAGGCGCUCUACUGGACCGCAACUGACGCUGAGGGACGAAAGCUAGGGGAGCGAAAGGGAUUAGAUACCCCUGUAGUCCUAGCUGUAAACGAUGGACACUAGGUGUUGGCCGUAUCGACCCGGCCAGUACCGAAGCUAACGCGUUAAGUGUCCCGCCUGGGGAGUACGCACGCAAGUGUGAAACUCAAAGGAAUUGACGGGGGCCCGCACAAGCGGUGGAGGAUGUGGUUUAAUUCGAUGCAACGCGAAGAACCUUACCAGGGCUUGACAUCCCGCGAACCUUGCUGAAAGGCGAGGGUGCCUUCGGGAGCGCGGAGACAGGUGGUGCAUGGCUGUCGUCAGCUCGUGUCGUGAGAUGUUGGGUUAAGUCCCGCAACGAGCGCAACCCUUGUCCUUAGUUGCCAUCAUUAAGUUGGGCACUCUGAGGAGACUGCCGGGGACAACUCGGAGGAAGGUAGGGAUGACGUCAAGUCAUCAUGCCCCUUACGUCCUGGGCUACACACGUCCUACAAUGCUGCGGACAAAGGGCAGCCAGCCGGUGACGGCGAGCUAAUCCCAUAAACCGCGGCUCAGUUCAGAUUGCAGG
RNAcentral lists this ribosomal RNA (716 nucleotides) under uncultured cyanobacterium. RNAcentral describes it as "bacterial SSU rRNA". It matches the Rfam family "Bacterial small subunit ribosomal RNA", at positions 588 to 1304 of the family's 1533-position model. Lineage: Bacteria; Bacillati; Cyanobacteriota. The record is from RNAcentral.